Molecule: ribosomal RNA, 216 nt
Filed under: Glomeromycotina sp.
Lineage: Eukaryota; Fungi; Glomeromycota
Description: partial small subunit ribosomal RNA
Rfam family: Eukaryotic small subunit ribosomal RNA (bases 40-216)
Source: RNAcentral
GGGUCAGUAGGUUGGUCGUGCCACCGGUACGUACUGGUCUCACUGAUUCCUCCUUCCUGAAGAACCGUAAUGCCAUUAAUUUGGUGUUGCGGGGAAACAGGACUGUUACUUUGAAAAAAUUAGAGUGUUUAAAGCAAGCUAACGCUUGAAUACAUUAGCAUGGAAUAAAGAAAUAGGACGAUCGAUCCUAUUUUGUUGGUUUCUAGGAUUGACAUA